This 473-nucleotide ribosomal RNA is filed under the name Kodamaea ohmeri. RNAcentral describes it as "eukaryotic LSU rRNA". It matches the Rfam family "Eukaryotic large subunit ribosomal RNA", at positions 45 to 516 of the family's 3401-position model. Lineage: Eukaryota; Fungi; Ascomycota; Pichiomycetes; Serinales; Debaryomycetaceae. The record is from RNAcentral.
AAUAAGCGGAGGAAAAGAAACCAACAGGGAUUGCCUCAGUAACGGCGAGUGAAGCGGCAAAAGCUCAAAUUUGAAAUCCCCCCGGGGAGUUGUAAUUUGAAGAUUGCGUCUUGGAGGCGACCGUGUCUAUGUUCCUUGGAACAGGACGUCACAGAGGGUGAGAAUCCCGUGCGGCACGGCCCCCGGCUCCUUAUAAGGCGCUCUCGACGAGUCGAGUUGUUUGGGAAUGCAGCUCAAAGUGGGUGGUAAAUUCCAUCUAAAGCUAAAUACAGGCGAGAGACCGAUAGCGAACAAGUACAGUGAUGGAAAGAUGAAAAGCACUUUGAAAAGAGAGUGAAACAGCACGUGAAAUUGUUGAAAGGGAAGGGCAUGCCGUCAGAUUGUCAGUGUGGGUAAGAAGCGGGGUACAAAGACUGUGGAACGUGGCCCUCGGGUGUUAUAGCCGCAGUUCAUGCCCCGUCUCUUUCCGAGGC